UGAGGAAUAUUGGGCAAUGGAGGCAACUCUGACCCAGCCAUGCCGCGUGCAGGAAGACUGCCCUAUGGGUUGUAAACUGCUUUUAUACAGGAAGAAACACCGCUACGUG
This 109-nucleotide ribosomal RNA is filed under the name uncultured bacterium. Its description in RNAcentral is "partial 16S ribosomal RNA". It matches the Rfam family "Bacterial small subunit ribosomal RNA", at positions 355 to 462 of the family's 1533-position model. The record is from RNAcentral.